Molecule: transfer RNA, 69 nt
Filed under: Metzia lineata (lined lesser-bream)
Lineage: Eukaryota; Metazoa; Chordata; Actinopteri; Cypriniformes; Xenocyprididae
Also listed under: 1 other name
Description: tRNA-His
Rfam family: tRNA
About the family: Transfer RNA (tRNA) molecules are approximately 80 nucleotides in length. Their secondary structure includes four short double-helical elements and three loops (D, anti-codon, and T loops). Further hydrogen bonds mediate the characteristic L-shaped molecular structure. tRNAs have two regions of fundamental functional importance: the anti-codon, which is responsible for specific mRNA codon recognition, and the 3' end, to which the tRNAs corresponding amino acid is attached (by aminoacyl-tRNA synthetases). tRNAs cope with the degeneracy of the genetic code in two manners: having more than one tRNA (with a specific anti-codon) for a particular amino acid; and 'wobble' base-pairing, i.e. permitting non-standard base-pairing at the 3rd anti-codon position.
Source: RNAcentral
GUAAGUAUAGUUUAACAAAAAUAUUAGAUUGUGAUUCUAAAGACAGGAGUUAAAAUCUCCUUACUAACC